UGUUCUCCCUCAGCUGAGAAACCUUGGCAAGGUGCAGCAUAGCCAAGUAAAACUCAACGAUACAGUGUACCUCAGACUACAUCGAGUCGCUGUCAGUCGAUACGAGGAAACAGACGGUUGUUGUAUUUUAUGAACGUUUAAUGAAAAGUAUGGAUUACAGCAAACAAAUUAAGGCACACCGCUACGGAGUACCAACAUAUGUACACGGUUUGAUCCUCCAUACAUCAGGACCACAACCAUGGAUUCCAUUCCGAUGACCACACUGAUUAAUCUGCAAUAAUAACUUUCAAAUAGCCCAGGAUAAGAGUACCCAGAAAUGCAAUGCAUCUAUUUUCACCAGUAGAUGGAGGAGAAGAUCUAGGUCAGUGAUCAUAUCUCCCAAACAAGCUUGGCCAAAAGUGUUAAGAAGACAGACAAAUAAUGAACAAGAUUUUGCAGGUGGCAGAGACAUGGG
This is a long non-coding RNA of Salvelinus namaycush (lake trout), 454 nucleotides long. RefSeq lists it as uncharacterized. The transcript has 4 exons. NCBI's taxonomy places the organism in Eukaryota, Metazoa, Chordata, Actinopteri, Salmoniformes, Salmonidae. The record is from RefSeq and is a predicted model, not a curated record.